Molecule: transfer RNA, 72 nt
Filed under: Stegodyphus mimosarum
Lineage: Eukaryota; Metazoa; Arthropoda; Arachnida; Araneae; Eresidae
Rfam family: tRNA
About the family: Transfer RNA (tRNA) molecules are approximately 80 nucleotides in length.
Source: Rfam by way of RNAcentral
GCCUUCGUGGUGUAACGUAGCACACUCGGCCCGUAUUCGAGUGAGGUCCAGGUUCGACUCCUGGCGAAGGCA